Heterocephalus glaber (naked mole-rat) is the source of this 254-nucleotide long non-coding RNA. RefSeq lists it as uncharacterized. Lineage: Eukaryota; Metazoa; Chordata; Mammalia; Rodentia; Bathyergidae. The record is from RefSeq and is a predicted model, not a curated record.
GUGAGCCAGAAGCAGGUCAUAGUGAACUACAGACUCUCCCACUGAGAGAAAGGACAAGAGAGUCAGAUUCCUGAUGUUCUUAUGGAAGGGGACUCUCCUUCCAAACAAUAACCGUCUUCAAUUUUAUCCUCCCCUUCCUGGGAGCCAAAGAUGUCAACUUGAAUGGCUCUUCCUCCAUUUCCCAUCCUUUGAGCCAGAGAUGUGAAGCCUUUUUUGGAUCACAAAGCCUGUCGACAAGUUGGCAAAGUCCAAGG